AUGGUACAGAAAGCAGAUGGGGAACUGGGAAUCAUUGAGUUCAAAGUAACGGUCAGACUGUGCUACAUCGUUCUCCCUCAGCAGGCAGCAUUGAGAGCAUGUGAGGAGAUAAGUUGGCACUACACAGUGCAGCACAAUAAGUGCUGCAGUCCAUCUGUGUGGGCUUUCGGUGUUGAGUCCUUCAUACCAGAGCUUCCCACUGCAUUUCAGAUGAGGUUACAGGAAGCUUGUCUCAUGAAGGAAAGCACAAUUCUGAUGACACCACUCUUUAAAGUAAAGUAAAGAGAGUCAUGCAGGAAGACCUGGCUCUUGGCUACCUUAUACUGGUAAGUGUUCUGUCAGCAUCUCCAUGUCUCAUUUUCCUUUCCCAGAACACAUCUAUGCUUCAAUGCUCUGGGGAAUCUGGGCUUGUUGGUAUCGAUAAGCCUACUUCAGACUCUUGAUCUCAUUUCUAUCACGAACCAGACUAAAACACCUUGAAGCAUG
RNAcentral lists this long non-coding RNA (486 nucleotides) under Coturnix japonica (Japanese quail). Its description in RNAcentral is "lncRNA (ENSCJPG00005014010.1)". Lineage: Eukaryota; Metazoa; Chordata; Aves; Galliformes; Phasianidae. The record is from RNAcentral.